ACUACUCAUAAAUAAUGUGACCCUACACAAAAAGGUUUCCGUGAUAUCUGGAUUAUCAAGGCGAUGAUGAAAAUGCAAACUAGACAAAAACAAAGAACACGCUGGGUGCCAAGUUGAAUGUUUACACUUUCAAAGAAAUUACAACAAUGUUUACUUCCGUAUGACAUCACUACCGGUGACCGACUUUUACAAAAUGGCGUGUUCACUGACAAUAGUACGCGGGAUUUCCAGAGGAGGAUUUUCGUUGAUUGAGGGAUCGUAUACACAUAAAUGGGUCACGUUUGGGGCGUUAUUACAGACUACAUUGCCCGUGUUGCCUUUCUCAUUGGCUUCUGAUAACAGACAACCCUGGUCGCAGAUGUUGCCAGUCUUGCUGACUCCAGAUAAAACCACUCCUGGCGAUACGACUGCUAUUUGAAUCCUAGACAAUCAUGAUCUCAGAUAUAGGCUCACUGCUAAGUCACAGAUAAUAUUAUCUUGUCGAUAGGCUUACUGCCAAGUCACAUACAAUCAUAUCUUGUCGAUAGGCUUACAACCAAGUCACAUACAAUCAGAUCUUGUCGACAGGCUUACUGCCAAGUCACAUACUAUCAUAUGUUGUAGGUAGGCUUACUGCCAAGUCACAUACAAUCAGAUCUUGUCGACAGGCUUACUGCCAAGUCACAUACAAUCAGAUCUUGUCGACAGGCUUACUGCCAAGUCACAUACAAUCAUAUGUUGUAGGUAGGCUUACUGCCAAGUCACAUACUAUCAUAUGUUGUAGGUAGGCUUACUGCCAAGUCACAUACUAUCAUAUGUUGUAGGUAGGCUUACUGCCAAGUCACAUACAAUCAGAUCUUGUCGACAGGCUUACUGCCAAGUCACAUACAAUCAGAUCUUGUCGACAGGCUUACUGCCAAGUCACAUACAAUCAGAUCUUGUCGACAGGCUUACUGCCAAGUCACAUACUAUCAUAUGUUGUAGGUAGGCUUACUGCCAAGUCACAUACAAUCAUAUGUUGUAGGUAGGCUUACUGCCAAGUCACAUACAAUCAGAUCUUGUCGACAGGCUUACUGCCAAGUCACAUACAAUCAGAUCUUGUUGACAGGCUUACUGCCAAGUCACAUACAAUCAGAUCUUGUUGACAGGCUUACUGCCAAGUCACAUACUAUCAUAUGUUGUAGGUAGGCUUACUGCCAAGUCACAUACUAUCAUAUGUUGUAGGUAGGCUUACUGCCAAGUCACAUACUAUCAUAUGUUGUAGGUAGGCUUACUGCCAAGUCACAUACUAUCAUAUGUUGUAGGUAGGCUUACUGCCAAGUCACAUACUAUCAUAUGUUGUAGGUAGGCUUACUGCCAAGUCACAUACAAUCAGAUCUUGUCGACAGGCUUACUGCCAAGUCACAUACAAUCAGAUCUUGUCGACAGGCUUACUACCAAGUCACAUACUAUCAUAUGUUGUAGGUAGGCUAACUGCCAAGUCACAUACUAUCAUAUGUUGUAGGUAGGCUUACU
Molecule: unclassified non-coding RNA, 1494 nt
Filed under: Haliotis rufescens (red abalone)
Lineage: Eukaryota; Metazoa; Mollusca; Gastropoda; Lepetellida; Haliotidae
Description: alpha-(1,3)-fucosyltransferase C-like, transcript variant X5
Source: RNAcentral